Molecule: non-coding RNA, 163 nt
Filed under: human gut metagenome
Source: RNAcentral
CGGUAACCGCCCUGCGGGGCGGUUUCAAAAGGGAAGACGGGUGAGAAUCCCGCACAGUCCCGCUGCCGUGAUGGAAGAGCAAACCCGCAUACAAGUCACUGGCCCCUUCGGGCCGGGAAGACACGGGCGCGCCAUGAGGCCAGAGUCGGAAGACCUGCCGCAG